This 1441-nucleotide ribosomal RNA is filed under the name Triticum aestivum (bread wheat). RNAcentral describes it as "partial small subunit ribosomal RNA". The record is from RNAcentral. Lineage: Eukaryota; Viridiplantae; Streptophyta; Magnoliopsida; Poales; Poaceae.
UUUGCAGGCGCGUGCGAGGCAGCGAGAGUAGUGGGGACAGCCAACAAUUGAGCGGUGGGCGACUGUCCCAGUUUUCUCUCCUUCUACAUCCAGUCCUCUUCCUUCAUCCCCACCUCUCCCUUCCACCAACCCCCGCCGCCGGCGUAUGGAAGCCACGGGCUCCCCUAUGCAUCCUCGCAGGAUUCCAACCCCCGGCACUCUCCGCUCAUCCGUGCCGCACGCCGCCACUUCCUCCCCCAUAGGAACACCUCGAGGUUGAACCCGACGGUUUUGCAGGUUAUGGGAGUAAAGGAGCUGCUCUAGAUUUGUGCACAUCAUUCUCAGCUACAAAGUCACAUAUACUACUGUGUGGAAAGAUCAAACGAAAAAAAACAAACCAGAUUAUUGUCUAGUUUGUAGCUAUGUUUUCAUAGUACCUACAAAAUACAUUUCUUUUUUUGGUACAUGGACAUAUGUCCUGCUGUUUUAUGUGUGAAAUAAGACUCUCUAUGCACUCUCCUAUAUAUUUGCACAUUUUCUGCAUUUUUUGCACAUAGUGCUACAAAUGUUGGCUUGUCACAUGAUUUGGUUGCAUGGAAACCAGUUAAAAUUGCACAGGUACAAGAUCUCCAUAUUUUUUUAUCUCUGUUUAUGCUCUCUUCAACUAUGAAGAAGCUACUUUUGCAAAGAGAAAUUUUGUGAGGGGGAAAGGGGAAGUCAAUGAGGGGGGAUUUGAAUAUGAGAAGAAAAGGAUCACCUCCUGUUUUAUCCUUCUUGGUGCUACCUGGUACGUUCUGAUCUGUCCUCCCUCUUCUUCUUCUUUUCACAGCAAAUUGUUCUAGAUUCGCUAUUAUUCCACUUUUAUUCAUCUGCCAUGGCAGCUCUGGGAUGGAGUCCAAACCUAGGAAACCAUUGUUUCUUGGGGAAGAAGAAGGCAAGGCAGGUAAGGGCGUGGAGAAGUUGGUGGCUAGUGGGUGUGAGAGCUUUGGGAGGGAAGGGAAGUGCACGUGAUGGCCUGGGGUCUGGGGACCGCGCCCAGCAUGUGGUUUGCUGGGUUACGCGCGUCUAUUGCUACUAGGGGAGACCUACCCUUUUCUGGGAUAGGAGGGGGGACCGUAUAUUUCCUUUUCUGACGGCCGCUCGGGAUUGCUAGCGGGCAGACGGCCGCCCAAUUUUUUGUUGUACAUGUGAUGACAUGGACAUCGUGAGGAGGCGCCAUAGUCGUGACGGUUAAUGGGUUUUACAGUCUCUAUUUUUUCUGGGAGAGACAUACUCUUCUCAAAAUAAAAAUUAAAUAAAAAAGAUCUACAGGGCUGUUAUCUGAAUAAAAAGACGUAUACUUUUCCUCAGAAAAGGAUAAAAGACUGUACACAUGCAAAUAUAACUUAAUUUUUUUCCGCAACAUACACAACAUACUAUUUAACCAUAUGCAAUGAUACAAUCCUAUAUUCCAUCCUUAUUG